Molecule: long non-coding RNA, 4720 nt
Organism: Lycium barbarum (goji berry)
Lineage: Eukaryota; Viridiplantae; Streptophyta; Magnoliopsida; Solanales; Solanaceae
Exons: 3
Source: RefSeq, a predicted model, not a curated record
UUACAGAUAUAUCAAUCCUGUUUGGACUUUGCUGGCAUGGACGAAUGCUAUCAAGGCUCUUAACAUUAUAUUCAGGGUGGGUGAUGGCGGUAAGGGUGAGUUUCUGGGGACAUAGGUGGUGUGGAAGAAGACUUUGAGAUCACAUUUCCGCAUCUCUACAAAAUUUCAUGCCAAAAGGAGAUGCCAAUCCAGUGUAUAGCGGGGUUUGAGAUUUAGGAGGAACUUGCAAGAUGGGAGGUGGAAGAUUUCAGCUUUUGCUUGAUUUUAUUCGCAAUCAAAAAAUUUCACAGGACAGUCAUGAUGUAUGGAGAUGAGGGACGAAGGAAGACGUUCUGUUUUCUGUUAAGUCCUAUAUGAGAAGCUUCUGGUUAGGGAGGAGCCAGUCUUUCCACAUAUUUCAGUAUGGAUCCCUAGGGUACCGAGAAAAACUCAUUUUUUCACUUGGGUAGCUGUGAGGGGUGAUUUUGACGGCGGAGAAUUUAAAGAGGAAGAUUACUUAUGUUCAUUGGUGCUUCAUGUGUAAACACUCAGGGGAAGAAGUGAAUUGUUACACCCCGUAUUUUCGGAGCACGAUCAUGACAUGUACAUCACCAUAGUGAUGGAGUGUCGAAGACGUCGCCUGACGUUUGGGGAGGUACAAGCCAUGGGAAAUAUGUAACAACAAAGAAAAACGGACGAAUUACGAUCUCGUAAGUCAUAAUCGGGAAAGACUAUUUUGAAACACGAGAACAUAGCCAUUAAUAGUAUAAUGAAUGAUAAAUAUCAUAUAUGGAGAGUUUUGGAGUAUUUCGAGAUCAAAAAAAUAAAAUAAUAAUAAUAAUAAGUUCGACGAAAAUUUGAGAAAUGCUGGGCGAAUUUUUUUAUCAACUUUGGAGGUGCAUAUCUCAUAGUAUAUAUGGGGUUUUAAGGUGAAACAAAAGCCUAAAAUGUAGUUCGUCGAGUCUAGUUUUUAAUGAAAUAACCCGUUCGUCGAUAGGAUAUCGGAGUAGAGAAUUAUGGACGUUACAAACUGAACUGUCGACGCAGAAACAGGACGCUACAGUACUGCUACAGUACUGUAGCUACGGUACUGUAGCUACAGUGACGCCGCCCCAACUGAAUAUAAAAGGGGCUCAAAACCUCAUUUUUCAGCACAAAAAAAAGUCCCAAACAUUCCAGAAAAAUCAGCAACCAAAAAGAAAGCAUAUCUACCUCAAGAUUGAGGAUUUUGAGCAAAUAUUCAAACUACGAAAUACUAAUCGGAGUCAGGACAACGCGUAGACGCGAUGAUGAUUAAAUUUGUGUGUCGGAGUAGUUUGGGAAUAAGCAAAGGAUGAAGAUUUUGCUACUUUCAUAAAAAAAUAAGAUUUUGAAGGAAACGGGAUUUGAGUUUGGACGAGCGUAAAAGGCACAUACGGUAUGUAAGGCCCUACCUUUCCUUUCUUUGGCAUGUCCUAGUUAUGAUAGGUUAUGAUACAAGCCUCGGGGGUAUCUCUAUUCCUUAAAAUCCGAGCCUAGUUUUGCCCCUUUUUCAUUCAAUGUAAUUGAAUUAUGUUUUGUUGGAAAAAUGUUUGAACAUCUUUUACUCCUAAAAGAAUCUUACAUGAUUAAACUUUCAUAACUUUCACAAGAAAAAUCGGAAUGCCCCGAAACUUUUUUGCAAACGACUCCAUAGAGCCUAAGGUUCGUAAUUUAUGUACUCCACCUUGGUUUGACCCGAGGUGGGCCCACUGUUCCCGAACUCUGUCCAUAUUGUUCUAUGAAACCUAUUUUCGAGUGACAUUUUUAAGAAAAAUUUUGACUAUUGUUUCGACUACUAAACGAUGGUUAUUUAACUAUUCCAUUGAGCCUAUAAUACAUUUUGACACGUACAAAGGAUUCCAGAAGUUCUGUUUUGAUAAAAUCCUCCGUGACCUUUAAAAGGUAUGUGCUAUGUCUAUCGUCCGGACCCUUUUUCAUGAUUUGUCGUUUGAUUGUUCUAUCGGGUCUCUGUAAAUGUUUUACAUUUUAUAUUGCAUUUAGUUUCUCACUACUCCGUUCGUGGAUGCCUCAAUGUUUCCCACACUGAGCCCGGGCCAGGAUAUGUUAUCACGCGUAUUCCACUGCAUUGUUCGCCGUGCCUCGAUAUGAGGGGGAAGGUAUAUAUGUACAUGGGUUGUGGAGUAUGUUGUGCCAUGUACACACUCUGAUAUGAUAUGAUAUGAUAUGGCCAUCUGAUAUGUUAUGAUGUGUGCACAUUCUGAUAUGAUAUGAUAUGUUACAGAGCUAUUCCCUACUCUGGAGUAUGAUGUGUUGUGGCGCCAGUGUCGGGGGCGACCACGUUCUAUUCACCGAGUCCCAUAAUGGGGCCGGAUAUGGCAUAUUUUCUGUUAUGCAUCGCCCAUGUUUAUGAGUACACCCAGAGGAGUACAGGCUAUUAUAGAAGAUAUUCCAGCGGCGUUGGCAAGCUCCAUUUGCUCCUGGAGUGCUGCCGAGUCAAAGUGUGUAUGCUAUGUGUUCUGGUUAGCUGUUAGAGACUUUGCAGACAGAGUCGUGGGUUCUGACUGUCAGUUUUGUGAGCGGCUCCAUCAGCCGAUAUGUCAUUCUGUAUUUUGAAGUAAAUUCCAUGUGAUUACAGAUUCUGUCAAUUGUAAACUACAAAAGAGUAUUUCCAAAAACAUUUGCUGUAUGUGUCAAUUUUUGUCUGAUUAAGAGUCUGAGAGAUUAUGUUUGUAAUAAGAGUCAGUGGGUUCGCUCGGCUCCGAAUGUGGGGUCGGGUGCCCAUCACACCCUAGUAAGAUUAGGGUGUGACAUGAAUAACCUCUUAUUACAUUGUCGGACAACAUCUUAUCUGUGGUUGGAAUCAUUGAGGUCGUUUGGUCUUGAGUGGGUGAUGCCGGGCACCGUGAAAGAAACUAUGUUUAGUUGGGCUUUCAGAAGACAGAAACGAAGAUGAAGGGCAUGGUAUGUUGCCACUCUAGCACUCAUGUGAAUUGUUUGGAAGAGGAACAGGAGAGCUUUUGAUGGUGUAGAUAAAGAUCUUGUUCACUUGAGGAGUAGCCUCUUUUCCCUUAUUGAUUUCUGGUGCACUCAUGUGGUUCCUCUUGUAUACGGGCGUGUUUUGCCCUCUUUUAAUGGAAUUUAUUAACUUAUUAAAGAAAAGGUUCUUAGUGAUUGCAAAAUAAGUCAUUGUACCAAUAUGGUAUAUUUGACAGGAUAUGGCAUCUACUAAAUAGGAUUGCUUAUUUAACCAGACAUAAUCCCCAUGGCCCUCAAUGGUUAUCAAAACUAUUCCAUUCCAUUACUUCAAGUUUGUUAAAGCAUCUCUUGAGAAAGCAGACAUAUUGUUGAAGAUAUAAUUAAAUAAAAAUAUGUUCUCUGAUGACUUAAGCUUUUAAAUGAGAUGGUCACACAAUUCAAUAUGGUACUAGAGCAGACAAAGAUCCUCGGUUUAAGUCUCACCGACACCCAUUAUCAAAAAUAAUUUUCACGUACUUGGCUAAUGAAAAACAAAACAAGCCCACAAGUGCGGGGGUUUCUUGAAGAUAGUAAGUUAAUAGAAAUGUGCUCUCCCAGACAACUUAAACUUUUAGAUGAGAUGGUCACACAAUUCAAUACGUAUAACUAAACACUCGGAGCGGAGUUGCCGCGGAACCGUCGACAUGUGUUGUGAAAAUAGAAAGCAUCUAAUUGAAUUGAUGAACAACAGGUGCUUGUUAUAUUGGAGUCUUAACUAUGUAUAAAAGCGUGACUGGAAUUGGUAGAACACUUACAAGAAAUUCAAGGUUUAGUAUAUAAAAUGUAGGUUGGGCUUGAAUGGUUGACCGAAGAGACGGGGCACCAAUUCAUGGAGAGAGGAGCUUUGGGUCCAAAAAAGGAAGCAAAAAGAAGAAAACUUUGGCCCUGUGAGCAGCAUAUAUUGGCUGAUACUAUCUGCUAGUAGCGUAAGCUAUUUGGACCUCUACUAGGAUCGUAGAGGCGGGCCUCUACUAAGAUCGUAGAGGUUCGGAUACCACGUGAAUGUUGAAUUAUAUGACCAUCUUAUCUAAAGACUUAAAUUAUAAAAGAGAACACACCUUUAUUUAUUUGAUUAUAUCUUAUCUUCAACACAUCUUUACAUGCAGGCCUGUUUCUUUUUAAUCAGCGAAACACGUGGAAUGUUUUUGAUAAUGGAUGACAGUGAGACUCGAAUCUAGAGUCUCUGCCUACUCGGAUCUCAUUGACUUGAGUAGCACUAUACAAGAGGUGCUCCUUAUAUAGUCCUAGACUAUGUAUAAUGUGCUAGAUAGUGCUAAUAAGGUAAUCACAUACUCUAUAAUUCAAGAAUUACCUACAACAUUCUACAGAAUAUUUUAUAAGAUUUUCAUUAUUCAAGUAUAAUAAAUUUAGGCACAUAUUCACAUAGUAUCUUGAAUACAAAUGAGGUUAACACAUUUUGACAGUGUUUACUCAACCUCAGUGCAUAAUAUUCACUUGUCCAUACUCCUAGGACUCAACUUUUCUACUUUUGAACUGUGGUCACAAUGGUAAAUAUGGAUACCCUUUUCUGCUUCAGUUCCAACAAAUACAACAUUUUCAUAUUUUCAUACUCCCUUCAUUUCAAUUUAUGUGAACCUAUUUCCUUAUUAGUCUGUGUCAAAAAGAAUGACCUCUUACCAUAUUUGGAAACAGUUUACCUUUAUUCAAUGAUUUAUAGCCACACAAAAUAUAUGUGACUCAUUUAACACCACAAGUUUUAAAAGUCUUCUCUACUUUCUUAAAC